RNAcentral lists this long non-coding RNA (614 nucleotides) under Cicer arietinum (chickpea). Its description in RNAcentral is "long non-coding RNA (CARI_LNC002397)". Lineage: Eukaryota; Viridiplantae; Streptophyta; Magnoliopsida; Fabales; Fabaceae. The record is from RNAcentral.
CCAGUCAGACACGACGACAGUUAAUUCAGACGUUCAAAAACAUCUUAAGAUUCUAACUUAGGUUGCAUGAAAUGACAAUGCAUGCUUGCUUUUCCAAUUAGUUUUAGGACUAGUCAAAUGGCACCGUGGUGUCGAUCAGUGACUGUUCUCGGCACAUAAAUUUGAUUCUUCUGCAAGUUUCAUGACUCAAAUGAUGGGUUGAAGAAACAAUAAUCUUGAAAUUAAGGUCUGUUUGGCUUGAAAACAUUUUCUUUUGAUACAAUUAAUUACUAAAUUUUAUUCCUUUGCAAGUUUUAUGACUCAAACCAUGGACUGAAUUAAUGAUAUUCGCGAAAUUAAGGUCUGUUUGGCUUGAAAACAUUUUCUGUUCAUACUAUUAAUUGCUAAACUACCAUUUACUUUAAUUGUUUCUUGUUUUCAAAUAUUCGUAUAAACGUAAAACAACUUUUUUUCCUACUGUAAGAAUAUUUGAAAACAGGAAACGAAGUGAAAACAAAGGACAGUUUCAAAAUUAAAAAUGAAAUGACAACAGAGAACAUUUUCACAAACCCCCUAAACGUUAAACAAAUUUCUGGCACAUACCUUAUCGUUCUCAAUCAUGAUAACAAACACAG